This 2044-nucleotide long non-coding RNA is filed under the name Equus asinus (donkey). Its description in RNAcentral is "lncRNA (ENSEASG00005034845.1)". The record is from RNAcentral. Lineage: Eukaryota; Metazoa; Chordata; Mammalia; Perissodactyla; Equidae.
CCCUGAGCUAACUGCUGCCACUCCUCCUCUUUUUGCUGAGGAAGACUGGCCCUGAGCUAACAUCCAUGCCCACCUUCCUCUACUUUAUACGUGGGAUGCCUAGCACAGCAUGGCUUUUGCCAAGUGGUGCCAUGUCUGCACCCGGGAUCCAAACCGGCGAACCCUGGGCCGCCGAGAAUUGGAACGUGUGAACUUCACCACUGCACCACUGGGCUGGCCCCAUGAGAGUGCUGGAACUUGGUCUUCUGCAAAGGCUCUCUUGUCGUGGGUUUCUACCCAAAUCGGUAUUUUCCAGGCGUUCCAGGACUGCGGCUGAGAGGGGCUGGAGCCAGUCCACAGCCCAGAGCAGGAUCACCUGUUCCCCAUUGCACAGGGCCAGGUCAAGAUUGCCUGGGCCAAUUGAGUUUCUGGGAACACCUUUAGAGGAGAUUCAUUCAUACUUUAUUUUGUAUCUGCCUUUACAUACCACUCCCUGUUUGACAGGCUGUGCCAAGCCUGAGAGAUCUACAAUGGGAGCUUGGCACACAAAUGAUUUUAGUACAGUCCAUGUAAUGGAGGAAAGACAGGACAUUUUUGGAGCAUCUGCUGUGCUGGACAGGUUAGAUUCAGUGAUGAACACACAGGACUUCUCACUGCAAGGGACUCAAUCUGAUGGGAGGGAUGGAUACAGUGCCAGAAAUGUGUGCAGGGAGUGAAGGAAGCACCGAGGAGGAAGCCGACCCAGCCAGGAACUGCGUUGGGUGUGCCCUCCCAUGCCCAGCCUGCUCCCCUCAUUUGGUCUCAUCAUUGUUCCCUUUGUUGCGCUCCCUCAUUAUUCAGGAGGCAGGAGCUACCAGGCCUGAACAGAAUGGGGACAGUCCAGGAAGAGGAAACAUCCCACCAGGGAGGGGGAGCAUUUUCAAGUUUCUUGCCCUUCACUGGGUCUCCUCGAUGUGCCUCAGUGAUUUGAAUCAAUCCAGUUAUUCCCAUGCACCAAUAUUUUUCAUUCUCUACCAUUGGGAACCAGCUUUCUAUUCCUCUCAUAUUCUCUGGUCUUUUUGCCUCUCCAAAUGGCUUUUAACUAUACAAUUUUUGCCUACUCAACUCGGAUGACAGUUCAAACUAACAGUGAGCUGUUGAACCCUGAUGUAUUUCAGAGUGUGUUUAUCCUGGGCAUUAUCCUAAAGGCGGCGAUGCAUACAAAUUUUGCUGGGAAAAUGCAGCAGUACUGCCGACUGGUGGUGAGGGUAGCUUUGUAAGCGCACUUUUGUUUUCAGAUCUUCCAUGCCCCAAGGCAUUCCCAGGGCUGAGGAGUUUGGUAAAUUCUGGGGAAAGAGAGGAAUUUGAAAUGUAUGAGUUGGUAGCUCAUUUAGAGGAUGUUCGGCCACCUGCUCUCAGACCGCGGGGCCUUUCACAUCCAGUACAUGUACGGCGCAGGUGCCAGGAGAUUGAAAAUGAAAGUGAAUUGUCGAUUUUUCUAUCUUUUCAUUCAACUUCUUUUCAAAAGCUCUUCCUCUUUCAAAAAUCAUCCAAAUGCCUUUCCUUUAAAGUUAACACCACAAGGAAUUGAAGUCUCAUUUCCUGGAAAUCCAGGGCUGGACGGCAUCCAUCCUUCAAAUGAGCCCCUAGAGAGAAGACGUGGAGACGCGAACUCCCAACUCAGGUUUCCGGGGGAUGCGUAUUAGACCCCCGGCCUGGAAGCUGAGGUCACGGAUUACUUUCUCAUUGCCGUCAAGGCAUAAUGCAUGCCAUGCUCCAGCAUGAAGGUCUGUCCAUGUUAUCAAAAAUGGAAGGAUACCAUCCUUUCUCAUGGGUGAGUAAUAUUCCAUUGUGUGUAUGUACCACAUCUUUUUUAUCCCUUCAUCCAUUGAUGGUCAUCUGGGUUGUAUCCAUAUCUUGGCUAUUGAGAAUAAGACUGCAAAACAUAGGAGUGCAUAUUGCUCGUCAAAAUCCUGUUUCUACCAGAUAAAUACAGAUUGGAAUCCUGCCUCUCUCACUAGGCUCUGUGAUAUUGGGCAAGUUUCUUAACCCUUCUCAGCCUCAGGUCAGGUAUCAUUCCAAACUC